CGCCAAGAAGCUAAAUAGGGCCAUUAGCGUUAGCCUUUUAAGCUAAAGAUUGGUGAUUCCCGACCACCCUUGGUGA
RNAcentral lists this transfer RNA (76 nucleotides) under Acanthurus xanthopterus (yellowfin surgeonfish). RNAcentral describes it as "tRNA-Lys". It matches the Rfam family "tRNA". Rfam says of the family: Transfer RNA (tRNA) molecules are approximately 80 nucleotides in length. Their secondary structure includes four short double-helical elements and three loops (D, anti-codon, and T loops). Further hydrogen bonds mediate the characteristic L-shaped molecular structure. tRNAs have two regions of fundamental functional importance: the anti-codon, which is responsible for specific mRNA codon recognition, and the 3' end, to which the tRNAs corresponding amino acid is attached (by aminoacyl-tRNA synthetases). tRNAs cope with the degeneracy of the genetic code in two manners: having more than one tRNA (with a specific anti-codon) for a particular amino acid; and 'wobble' base-pairing, i.e. permitting non-standard base-pairing at the 3rd anti-codon position. Lineage: Eukaryota; Metazoa; Chordata; Actinopteri; Acanthuriformes; Acanthuridae. The record is from RNAcentral. RNAcentral also lists the same sequence under 1 other name.